This is a long non-coding RNA of Labeo rohita (rohu), 2537 nucleotides long. RefSeq lists it as uncharacterized. NCBI's taxonomy places the organism in Eukaryota, Metazoa, Chordata, Actinopteri, Cypriniformes, Cyprinidae. The transcript is spliced from 3 exons. The record is from RefSeq and is a predicted model, not a curated record.
CGCAUCCAGCUAUUUCUAACUGUACACAACACAGUUGCUUGAUAUUGCAAAUUGUUGUAUUUUUAAUAUGGUUACCAUGUUAUUUUAACGUAUUAUCUUAACACAUCGGUUUGUAGUGCAAACAGUUUUACAGCACAUUGUUAUUCCGGAAGUCUCACCCAUAGGUUUACUUCCGUGCUGAAAAAAAAGGUGAAGCGUGAAGGCUUGUCUCAACGAGUAAAAGUAGAUAUUAGGAAUUCUUUUAACUUUAAGUUAGCUUACCUGUCGAGAAUAAACUCCUUAAUUUCGUUGUGUCGAUUAAAACCCAUUCCAUCAAACGCAUCCCUCUUGUAAAAACACUGCGGCCUGAAAUCUUUUAAGGCUGAGCCUUCAGACAUAUAUUUAUGCUGUUAUAUUUAGACCACUUAUUGAUUGCUAUCAGGAUGUGAAGGGGAGAAUUACUGAGUGCUUCCCCACCGUUUGUGACUAUUGCUGCUUUUCCUCUGUCAUCCGCUAGAGGGUGCAGUACACACUCUACCCGCUAAAGACAGAGCUACACACUUCCUGUGCUCGCUAGAGUUGUUGAUAUACAGCGAGCACAUGCUAAACACAAUCUUUGACAUUUUGUCUCAUAACAAAACGACAACCGCUGUGAUUCAGUAGCUUGACGUUUUGCAGUUGCUAUGUGUCUGCUAUUGCACGCUGAAGAAUGAAAGACUUCACUACUCGGGGCAUUGAUGGAUUUAAUAAGAGAGUUUCCCACAGCCAUGAUAUAUGUGAUUUUGUCUCUCUCAUCGCUGCUUUCUGCUUAUCGGCUGUUUAAGGACCAUAGAGCUUCAUCAGUGGGCUUCCUCCUGAUUGGCUGCUCUUCUGUCCUUUCAGUCUUUUCUCCCAGUAACCAAACUAUCGAAUCAUUUCAGAAUGAUCUAGAACGGGCAGGUGAAUCACUUGGUCCUGCGCUUGUUACUUUUGACUUUUUGUGGCUAAGUGAGGACCACGUCACUGCUCGUAUCCUUCUGAUUGGCUCUACUUUUUUCGUAAUGCUCUCUGAUUGGUUAUCGUCGGAUGGGUUGGUCAUUAUGUCACGCUGCUUGGCCUUUUCCACCCUCUCCUGUUCGCUGACAGUGUGUGCGUUUGCUGAAAAUGCAGCAGGGGCAGUAGGGAGUGUAGCGCUUAAUCUGCCUUUAUUAGUUUCCCCAAGGAGCAGUUCUGGCUUUUUGCAUUCCCUCGUGUUGCCUACAGACGGACUUCUCAGCUGGAUCCUUAAAGUCAUCAUGGCAUUAGGAUGCUGGACCACUGGGAAGGCCCUCAAUAAAUACCUGUUUGAUUUAAAAGGCUGGGACUGACUUAAGCAAUGGUUUCGAAUGUCAAAAGUGGACCAUAAUAUGCUACUUUCGUAUUUCAAGGUUAUUACCAGGCUUAUGCACAGUGCAUUAUUAUUGUACUACAUAAACUGUUUUUUAUGUCUGUAAUCAAAUCAUAGAGUUUUCUUAGAACAUAUUAAAUCCAUUACACUAACUUUGAGAGCGAGUAAAAUCCAUGAGCAAUGAAUACACUGUUUUAGCAUCUUUAACAAUGUAGUCCUUUAUACAGAAAGAAUAGGACUCUGUUUAAACCAGUGUUGCCAUGUCCACUCAUUAUGAGCAACUUUGGUAAAUGUGCAUGAUAAAUUUACUCAUUAGUUUACUCAUUUAGAUGUCCAUUUACAUAUGUGGAACAUUUUAGUUUUGAAAAUUAAUGUUUUCUGAAUGUCAAAAAAGAAAGUUCUGUCAUCAUUUGCUCACCCAAACCUGCAUGAAUUUACAUUUUCAUUACAUUUAUUCAUUUAGCAGAUGCUUUUAUUCAAGUAACUUGCAAAUGAGGAGUAGAACAAGCAAUUCAUCAUAAAUUAUUUCUUCUAUUAUUCUAUUUAUAUUCUGUUUAGUCGCUGCAGAUGCAUGUAGUUUGUUUUUCUUGCGAGAUCUCAGAUCUGACAACACUGGUUUAAAAAUACAUAGUAUUAUAUGUUUGUGCAGAGGACAGGUUGAUUCAAACAAUGAAGCACAGACAAAACAUCAGUAUAUGCAGUUAUAAUUUAUUUUUAUUUAUAUAUAUAUUUUUCAACCUGAAUUAGCAGGUUUAGUCAAUAAGCUACUAAAUUGUUUAAUCCAAAUUUAGUAUUUUGCUUAUAUUGGAUUGUAUGAGACAUGUUGAAGAACUCUAAAUAUUUAAUAAAAUAUUUAAAACCAAAACCAAAUACAGACAUAUUAUUUCUUGCUCACUGGAUGUGAUGUUAUUUUAAAUGUGAUGCUGAUGCAUCUUGUUAAUGAGGUGUUCUGCAAUCACGAAGGACAGAGUUUGUAGAUCAACUCUAAUGUAAAACUCUUUCAGGAAGUCUCCAUUGAGAUAUGAUUUUACAUUAGCCAUAAGACUUUUAUUUCUUCAAUAUUAUGACACUUGUAAUAGGGAAGGGAAACACGAUGAGGAUGGUCCAUUAUAGUCAGCAUUUAAUAGCAUGGAGGCCUGAGCAUAAGGCAAUUUAUUCAUGAUGAUGAAUGCUUAUUCCUGGCACUUUGCAA